RNAcentral lists this ribosomal RNA (268 nucleotides) under Enterobacter cloacae subsp. cloacae. RNAcentral's name for it is "partial 16S ribosomal RNA". It matches the Rfam family "Bacterial small subunit ribosomal RNA", at positions 1 to 263 of the family's 1533-position model. The record is from RNAcentral. Lineage: Bacteria; Pseudomonadati; Pseudomonadota; Gammaproteobacteria; Enterobacterales; Enterobacteriaceae.
UUAAAUUGAAGAGUUUGAUCAUGGCUCAGAUUGAACGCUGGCGGCAGGCCUAACACAUGCAAGUCGAACGGUAACAGGAAGCAGCUUGCUGCUUUGCUGACGAGUGGCGGACGGGUGAGUAAUGUCUGGGAAACUGCCUGAUGGAGGGGGAUAACUACUGGAAACGGUAGCUAAUACCGCAUAACGUCGCAAGACCAAAGAGGGGGACCUUCGGGCCUCUUGCCAUCGGAUGUGCCCAGAUGGGAUUAGCUAGUAGGUGGGGUAACGG